UGGCUGCGCGCGGCGACCCGUCUGUCUCCUUCUUUUUUUCUUUUUUAAAUGUAACCUGGUUUAUUGGGCUCUCGGCGUAUUCUUGCGUUCCUUCUGCACUGGGACAAGACACCACUGCACUAUUGGACUACGGCAAGCUGGUGCCGUCCGGUGGAGCUUCAUACAGGAACUACUGCCUUACUUGCUGGUGUCACAACGUUGGAUGAACGCACAAAA
Long non-coding RNA from Dermacentor silvarum, 216 nucleotides. RefSeq lists it as uncharacterized. The record is from RefSeq and is a predicted model, not a curated record. The transcript has 2 exons. Lineage: Eukaryota; Metazoa; Arthropoda; Arachnida; Ixodida; Ixodidae.